This 238-nucleotide ribosomal RNA is filed under the name uncultured bacterium. RNAcentral describes it as "partial 16S ribosomal RNA". It matches the Rfam family "Bacterial small subunit ribosomal RNA", at positions 96 to 334 of the family's 1533-position model. The record is from RNAcentral.
CGGCGGACGGGUGAGUAACGCGUGGGUAACCUGCCUCAUACAGGGGGAUAACAGUUGGAAACGGCUGCUAAUACCGCAUAAGCGCACAGUACCGCAUGGUACCGUGUGAAAAACUCCGGUGGUAUGAGAUGGACCCGCGUCUGAUUAGUUAGUUGGUGGGGUAACGGCCUACCAAGGCGACGAUCAGUAGCCGACCUGAGAGGGUGACCGGUCACAUUGGGACUGAGACACGGCCCAA